UGGGGAAUAUUGCGCAAUGGGCGAAAGCCUGACGCAGCGACGCCGCGUGAGCGAUGAAGGCCUCCGGGUUGUAAAGCUCUGUGGAGAAAAAAGAAUUUCAGUGGGGUGAAUAUCCCCUUUGAUUGACGGUAUUUCUUUAGCAAGCACCGGCUAACUCUGUGCCAGCAGCCGCGGUAAGACAGAGGGUGCAAACGUUGUUCGGAAUUACUGGGCGUAAAGCGCGUGUAGGCGGCUACGCAGGUCGGGUGUGAAAGCUCUCAGCUCAACUGGGAAAGUGCAUUCGAAACCGCGAUAGCUAGAGUCUCGGAGGGGAAGAUGGAAUUCUUGGUGUAGAGGUGAAAUUCGUAGAUAUCAGGAGGAACACCGGUGGCGAAAGCGAUCUUCUGGACGAUGACUGACG
Molecule: ribosomal RNA, 400 nt
Filed under: uncultured bacterium
Lineage: Bacteria
Description: bacterial SSU rRNA
Rfam family: Bacterial small subunit ribosomal RNA
Source: RNAcentral